GAUGAACGCUGGCGGCGUGCCUAAUACAUGCAAGUCGAGCGAACAGACGAGGAGCUUGCUCCUCUGACGUUAGCGGCGGACGGGUGAGUAACACGUGGAUAACCUACCUAUAAGACUGGGAUAACUUCGGGAAACCGGAGCUAAUACCGGAUAACAUGUUGAACCGCAUGGUUCAACAGUGAAAGACGGUUUUGCUGUCACUUAUAGAUGGAUCCGCGUCGCAUUAGCUAGUUGGUAAGGUAACGGCUUACCAAGGCAACGAUGCGUAGCCGACCUGAGAGGGUGAUCGGCCACACUGGAACUGAGACACGGUCCAGACUCCUACGGGAGGCAGCAGUAGGGAAUCUUCCGCAAAGGGCGAAAGCCUGACGGAGCAACGCCGCGUGAGUGAAGAAGGUCUUCGGAUCGUAAAACUCUGUUAUUAGGGAAGAACAAAUGUGUAAGUAACUAUGCACGUCUUGACGGUACCUAAUCAGAAAGCCACGGCUAACUACGUG
This 497-nucleotide ribosomal RNA is filed under the name uncultured bacterium. RNAcentral's name for it is "partial 16S ribosomal RNA". It matches the Rfam family "Bacterial small subunit ribosomal RNA", at positions 28 to 507 of the family's 1533-position model. The record is from RNAcentral.